GCGUAAUGGCGCUGUCAAACGGGAUGGAACCGAAAAACAAGAACCUUCUCGGGCUCGUGGACCUCCGCGCUGAUCAGAACAAGGCCCGGGCAGAGUUCUACAACCGGUGGGAAGCGGCUCGAGGAUACCUUCAGAAGGCCGCUGAACGGAUGCGAAACGUCUACGGUGCCGUCAGACUCCGUGCGAAGAAGAAUCGUAUCCCCUUGAUUCCGUACACGAGCAUUGCCGUCCCACUAGCAGCGCUCAUUCGAGAGGCUGAAACUCUCGGCUGAGCGAAAGCGCUAUACGAUAGGAUUGACCGCUGGUACUGGACGGCUGUGUUCACUGGCCGGUAUGCCCAUGCGGUAGAGUCACAGUCGUACGCCGACUACAAGGCGGUUGCCGCGUGGCUCCGGGACGAUUCAUCUGUUCCCGAUCUGGCCGCGGACGUUGCGAGCGUCGUUACGGAGAUUGGCAAGGCCUCUCGCACUUCAGCGCUCGCAAAAGCGUUCUACAAUUUGGUUGUUCUCAAUGGCGCGACCGAUUUCCUCAACGGUCAAUCAGUCAAGCUGGACGAUUGCGAGGUGGAUCACAUCUUCCCCGCGU
This 585-nucleotide unclassified non-coding RNA is filed under the name uncultured fungus. RNAcentral describes it as "sequence contains 18S rRNA gene, ITS1, 5.8S rRNA gene, ITS2, 28S rRNA gene". Lineage: Eukaryota; Fungi. The record is from RNAcentral.